Molecule: ribosomal RNA, 442 nt
Filed under: uncultured bacterium
Lineage: Bacteria
Description: partial 16S ribosomal RNA
Rfam family: Bacterial small subunit ribosomal RNA
Source: RNAcentral
CCUACGGGCGGCAGCAGUAGGGAAUCUUUCACAAUGGGCGAAAGCCUGAUGGAGCAACGCCGCGUGCAGGAUGAAGGCCUUCGGGUUGUAAACUGCUUUUAUAAGCGAGAAAUAUGAUGGUAACUUAUGAAUAAGGAUCGGCUAACUACGUGCCAGCAGCCGCGGUCAUACGUAGGAUCCGAGCAUUAUCCGGAGUGACUGGGUGUAAAGAGUUGCGUAGGUGGCAUAAUAAGUAGCUAGUGGAAUCUGGUGGCUCAACCAUUCAGACUAUUAGCUAAACUGUUAAGCUCGAGACCGUUAGGGGUAACUGGAAUUUCUAGUGUAGGAGUGAAAUGCGUAGAUAUUAGAAGGAACACCAAUAGCGUAGGCAGGUUACUGGGACGGUUCUGACACUAAGGCACAAAAGCGUAGGGAGCAAACGGGAUUAGAUACCCGUGUAGUC